AGUAACACGUGAGUAACCUGCCCUUCACUCUGGGAUAACUCCGGGAAACCGGUGCUAAUACUGGAUAUGACCUGAACAGGCAUCUGUAUCGGGUGGAAAGAUUUAUUGGUGGGGGAUGGACUCGCGGCCUAUCAGCUUGUUGGUGAGGUAAUGGCUCACCAAGGCGACGACGGGUAGCCGGCCUGAGAGGGCGAUCGGCCACACUGGGACUGAGACACGGCCCAG
Molecule: ribosomal RNA, 225 nt
Filed under: uncultured bacterium
Lineage: Bacteria
Description: partial 16S ribosomal RNA
Rfam family: Bacterial small subunit ribosomal RNA
Source: RNAcentral